RNAcentral lists this ribosomal RNA (253 nucleotides) under uncultured bacterium. Its description in RNAcentral is "partial 16S ribosomal RNA". It matches the Rfam family "Bacterial small subunit ribosomal RNA", at positions 524 to 776 of the family's 1533-position model. The record is from RNAcentral.
UACGUAGGGGGCAAGCGUUGUCCGGAUUUAUUGGGCGUAAAGAGCGUGUAGGCGGCCAUGUAGGUCCGUUGUGAAAACUCGAGGCUCAACCUCGAGACGCCGAUGGAAACCAUGUGGCUAGAGUCCGGAAGAGGAGAGUGGAAUUCCUGGUGUAGCGGUGAAAUGCGCAGAUAUCAGGAAGAACACCGGUGGCGAAGGCGGCUCGCUGGGCCAGUUCUGACACUCAUCCGCGAAAGCGUGGGGAGCAAACAGG